AUGUUCGGUUCAGAGUUCGAGUCAACACCCGAGGCCGCCAGAAAGCUUCUUCCUUUCAUCUUCGGUUAAUUAUUGAGAUGAUAUUCAAGACGAAACAAGAUUUAGGGUGGACUAGACACACACCUAGACUGAUCUAUCUUUUGUUGUUAUGUUACAAUUUGAAACAAUGUUGUUAUUUAUUUUUGAAUCUUGUAUGACAUCUAGUACUGCAAUGAAAUUUGAAUU
Molecule: long non-coding RNA, 225 nt
Filed under: Helianthus annuus (common sunflower)
Lineage: Eukaryota; Viridiplantae; Streptophyta; Magnoliopsida; Asterales; Asteraceae
Description: sRNA HanXRQr2_Chr05g0233831
Source: RNAcentral